The sequence is a regulatory RNA element, 109 nucleotides long. It matches the Rfam family "SAM riboswitch aptamer (S box leader)". Rfam says of the family: The SAM riboswitch is found upstream of a number of genes which code for proteins involved in methionine or cysteine biosynthesis in Gram-positive bacteria. The SAM riboswitch acts at the level of transcription termination control. The record is from Rfam.
CUCUUAUAAAGAGUAGUGGAGGGACUGGCCCUAUGAAGCUCGGCAACCUUUCAUGUUUAACAUGAAUUGGUGCUAAAUCCUGCAAAACAUUAGUUUUGAAAGAUAAGAG